This 429-nucleotide ribosomal RNA is filed under the name Bacteroidota bacterium. Its description in RNAcentral is "Bacteroidetes bacterium partial 16S ribosomal RNA". It matches the Rfam family "Bacterial small subunit ribosomal RNA", at positions 355 to 776 of the family's 1533-position model. The record is from RNAcentral. Lineage: Bacteria; Pseudomonadati; Bacteroidota.
UAGGGAAUCUUCCGCAAUGGACGCAAGUCUGACGGAGCAACGCCGCGUGAGUGAAGAAGGAUUUCGGUUCGUAAAACUCUGUUGUUAGAGAAGAACAGCGCAUAGAGUAACUGUUAUGCGUGUGACGGUAUCUAACCAGAAAGCCACGGCUAACUACGUGCCAGCAGCCGCGGUAAUACGUAGGUGGCAAGCGUUGUCCGGAUUUAUUGGGCGUAAAGCGAGCGCAGGCGGUCAAUUAAGUCUGAUGUGAAAGCCCCCGGCUCAACCGGGGAGGGUCAUUGGAAACUGGUUGACUUGAGUGCAGAAGAGGAGAGUGGAAUUCCAUGUGUAGCGGUGAAAUUCGUAGAUAUAUGGAGGAACACCAGUGGCGAAGGCGACUCUCUGGUCUGUAACUGACGCUGAGGCUCGAAAGCGUGGGUAGCAAACAGG